UUGGGAAUUGUACGCAAUGGACGAAAGUCUGACGUCGCGACACCGCGUGAAGGAUGAAGGCCCUCGGGUCGUAAACUUCUUUUAUUGGGGACGAUGAUGACGGUACCCAAAGAAUAAGCACCGGCUAACUACGUGCCAGCAGCCGCGGUAAUACGUAGGGUGCAAGCGUUAUCCGGAAUUAUUGGGCGUAAAGAGCGCGUAGGUGGUUUGUUAAGUUACCCGUUAAAUACUCAGGCUCAACCUGAGAACUGCGGGUAAUACUGGCAAACUCGAGAAUAGCAGGGGCAAGUGGAAUUCCCGGUGUAGGAGUGAAAUCCGUUGAUAUCGGGAGGAACACCAAUGGCGAAGGCAGCUUGCUAGGCUAUUUCUGACACUGAGGCGCGAAAGCGUGGGGAGCGAACGGG
RNAcentral lists this ribosomal RNA (404 nucleotides) under uncultured bacterium. RNAcentral describes it as "bacterial SSU rRNA". It matches the Rfam family "Bacterial small subunit ribosomal RNA", at positions 355 to 776 of the family's 1533-position model. The record is from RNAcentral.